GAUGAACGCUAGCGGCAGGCCUAAUACAUGCAAGUCGUACGGGAUUGAGGACUUCGGUUCUCAUGAGAGUGGCGCACGGGUGCGUAACACGUAUGCAACCUACUUUAACUGGGGGAUAGCCUUUCGAAAGAGAGAUUAAUACCGCAUAAGACAACAUGAUCGCAUGAGAGAGUUGUUAAAGCUUCGGUGGUUAAAGAUGGGCAUGCGUUG
RNAcentral lists this ribosomal RNA (210 nucleotides) under uncultured bacterium. RNAcentral describes it as "partial 16S ribosomal RNA". It matches the Rfam family "Bacterial small subunit ribosomal RNA", at positions 28 to 238 of the family's 1533-position model. The record is from RNAcentral.